This 222-nucleotide long non-coding RNA is filed under the name Medicago truncatula (barrel medic). RNAcentral describes it as "lncRNA gene25956". Lineage: Eukaryota; Viridiplantae; Streptophyta; Magnoliopsida; Fabales; Fabaceae. The record is from RNAcentral.
CUUGUUGACACUUUGAAUGAACGCAUCUAUUUCUUAAUCUUCAUGCAAGUAGUAUAUAUAUUUUUACCAAGAGGAAGCAAAGCAUGCGUUAGCUAGACAGAGGAAAAAUUCUUCAUGCACAGUUCCAUGUGGCAACUGGAGGUAGAAGUUGAAGCAUGUUCCUCAGAAACUUCAUUCUUUUUGGAUCCAUUAUCAAGAAGAGUAAUUUGUUCAGCCACAUGA